ACAAACGUUCCUUAAGCUUGCUGCAAAUGAAGGAUGCAUUGUUGGGUCUAUGUCGUGCGUUGCGUUGAAGUUGCGGAUUCUAUUCUGGAAGGAUGAGCAGUGGGAAAAUCCGAUAGUGUGGCCUCCUGCAACAGCAUCAUGUGUAAGUAACAAGUUAAUCCCUUUUUGCUUUAGUUAAAUAAUGUUGAAUUAAAACAUAUAAAGUUUAUCAUUUCGGUUAACCUGAAAGAGCUACGAGGUCAUCCAUGGAUAGGCCUCUUUGAGAGAAGCUUUGUUGCAGUUGAGAUAUGUUGAAAGUCGGAGCCGGCAAUUGUAUAGUUUCGCUAGCCUUUGAUGUUCUACCAUCUUUUCUUCCCUUAGGCACUUCCCAUGUAGGACCUCCAGACUAUCAUGAAUUUGAUCAAAUAGACACCAUUAGAUCAAUCAUUAUGCAUGCAUAUAUUCAAUGCACAUACAGAAUCCACACUAAAGAAAGUUGUCGUCUUACGAGCACGACAG
This 498-nucleotide long non-coding RNA is filed under the name Gossypium barbadense (sea-island cotton). RNAcentral describes it as "long non-coding RNA (GBAR_LNC001834)". The record is from RNAcentral. Lineage: Eukaryota; Viridiplantae; Streptophyta; Magnoliopsida; Malvales; Malvaceae.